AGUGAACGCUGGCGGUAGGCCUAACACAUGCAAGUCGAACGGCAGCGCAGUAUGAGCUUGCCCUUACGGGUGGCGAGUGGCGGACGGGUGAGGAAGACAUCGGAAUCUACUUUUUCGUGGGGGAUAACGUAGGGAAACUUACGCCUACACCGCAUACGACCUACGGGUGUAUGCAGGGUAUCUUCGUACCUUCCGCGAUCGCAUGAGCCCCUGUCGGCUUAGCUAGUUGGCGGGUGAAAGGCCGACCAAGUCGACGAUCCGUAGCUGGUCUGAGAGCAUGAUCGGCCACACUUGAACUGAGACACGGUCCAGACUCCUCCGGGAGGCAGCAGUCGGGAAUAUUCGACCGAGGGCGAAAGCCUGAUGCAGCCAUGCCGCGUGGGUGAAGAAGGCGUUCGGGUUGUAAAGCCCUUUUGUUGGGAAAGAAUGGCAGCAGAUUAGUACGCCGCGGUCGUGACGGUACCCAAAGAAUAAGCACCGGCUAACUUCGUG
RNAcentral lists this ribosomal RNA (492 nucleotides) under uncultured bacterium. RNAcentral's name for it is "partial 16S ribosomal RNA". It matches the Rfam family "Bacterial small subunit ribosomal RNA", at positions 29 to 507 of the family's 1533-position model. The record is from RNAcentral.